AAUAUUAUUCUAAAGCAGAAGGUAAGGGGUUUUAAAAUAAAAAUAAUCAACUCUGACCUUCAUUAUACCUUCUAACAUCUCUACUGGGGAUGGGGGGAGGUGAUUAAUUGAAUCAAUUUAAUCGAAUCAAGAUGAAUUGAGUCAAUUAAUAUCUAAAGCAAGCUCGCUUAUAUAAAACAUGAUGACAAAAAAUGCACUGAUAUGAAAUCGAUCCUCACAAAUCAUCAACAUUUGUGUAGAAUACCAAUAUAUCCCAGCAGGAAGAGAUGAAGAAAUUGCAUUUUAAAUAACUGCAGAAUGUAUGCUUAGGAGGUGGGAGAGGAGAGGAGGAUGAUAUAUUGUGUAAAUGACAACAAAAAUCACAUUCCCUCUUCCCUCCUCCACCAUCCCCCAAGCACAAUCUUAUGUAUUAUGACCUUGGAUCAAAGAAUUACAAUUUCAAGAAACCUUAUUCAAUGGAGUCUAACUGACCCCUCUUAUGGGGGAGGAAGUUGAGACCCAGAAAGAAGUGAUUUACCCAACAUCAUGCAGAUAGUAAAUAGCAAAACCAGGAUCUGAUCGGGGGUGACAACCUUGCCUUAUUUCCACUGCAUUUUUGGUUUGUGUAUUCGCUUACCAACAUAGGCUAUCAUGCCUAGAAGGACUAGAGAGUCAGGUGGGGAAGCACCUUAGAAUAGAGAGUAUCAAUGACACCAACAAUGUAAAUGCAAUGACCACUAAAAAUUCACUGAACCCUAAAUUGGUGAAAAACCAAUGGUGGUCUUGUAGAAUAUGCAGUGAGAGAACAUGGCCUCAUAGCCCAUCCUCUCUUCAGAGAGACCUAGGACUCCAAGGAUAGAAUGUCACAUAUGCUGUCAGACUUGGUCACUGGAGGUAGAUUUUGUCUAAUUGUUUCCCUGUGUUGGAAGAAAGGACUCCAUUUGUGGCUAGAAAUGUAGGGAGGGGACAGAAGAAUGGGGUUAAAAAAUACAAAGAAUGUCAGAUUGGGUAGGGCCUUAAAACAUUACAUGCCAGAGUUGGGAGCAACAUUAGAACAGAGAAUAUUAGAGUUUGAAGGAACCUUAAAACAAAGAUGGUCAGAAAUAGAAGGAGUCUUAAAAUCAAGAUUGUCGGAAACAGAAGACUUUAAAGCACAGAAUGUCAGAGCUGGGAGAUUAUCUCAUCCAAAUGCAUCCUGUUACAAUGAGAAAACUGAGACCCAGUGGAACCAAUUUGUCCAAGGUCGCAAUGGCAAUAAUUGGCAAAGACUCUUGUAUGAAAUAAAAGGCUUCUGUGUCAUAUAAAAACCUUUAUGAAGUCAUAGAAAACUGGUUUCAACAAGACCUACAUGGGGACAAAUAUUCCUUCAUGCUCUAAAGCUAUGGCCCGAUGACCUUGGUUACACUCAUUAGAGAAGAUUUCCUCUUUAGAGGGGAAAGUGGGGCUUGAUCUAGUCUUGGAAUUCUGUGAAAGAAGAGGGAAAGAUGAAAUAAGGGAAGAUGUUCUCCCCUCACCUCCAACAAAAACCAAAACCACAGGUUUCACCUUCUUCCUUCUGCCUGGAUGGAUCAGAAUGCUUAUGCAAUGGAAAGUGCUGAUAAACUUCAUUUUCCUGGAAUGCUAGAAGUAGAAAGGACUUACUUCAAACACCAUUCAGUCUUCACCCAGGCACAAUACCAGGAGCUUAGGAGACACUGCUCUUCCCUGUACAGAAUUGUUGCAGGAGAUUUCAAGGUGUGUCUAAGAUUUUGGCUGAUUGCACAACUAGGUAAUGCCACCAUGGAUAGAAUACUGGGCCUGGAGUCAGGAAGACUCAUCUUCUUGAGUUCAAAUCUGGCCUUCUACACUAACUAGCUGUGUGACCCUGGGCAAGUCACUUAAAACCCAGUUUGCCUCAGUUUCCUCAUCUGUAAAAUGAGCUGGAGAAGGAAACAGCAAACCUAGCUCUGUGACCCUGGGCAAGUCACUUCACCCAGUUUGCCUCAGUUUCCUCAUCUGUAAAAUGAGCUGGAGAAGGAAACAGCAAACCUAGUUCUGUGACCCUGGGCAAGUCACUUCACCCUGUUUGCCUCAGUUUCCUCAUCUGAAAAUGAGCUGGAGAAGGAAACAGCAAACCUAGUUCUGUGACCCUGGGCAAGUCACUUCACCCUGUUUGCCUCAGUUUCCUCAUCUGUAAAAUGAGCUGGAGAAGGAAACAGCAAAUCUAGUUCUGUGACCCUGGGCAAGUCACUUCACCCUGUUUGCCUCAGUUUCCUCAUCUGAAAAUGAGCUGGAGAAGGAAACAGCAAACCUAGCUUUGUGACCCUGGGCAAGUCACUUCACCCUGUUUGCCUCGGUUUCCUCAUCUGAAAAUGAGCUGAAGAAAGAAAUGGCAAACCACUCCAGUAUCUUGCCAGGAAAACUCCAAAUGGAGUCAUAAAGUUCCAGACACAACUGAAAAACAACUAAACAACCCUAACCCAGAAUAUAACCUUGAAGUUUCUUUUCUUUCAAAAUGAAUCCCUGAGAUGAGCAUGUUCCCUUGGCAUAUUGAUCCUCCUUCGCACUCCCCUCCCAAAAAAAAGACCAAAGAAUAUCAGAGAAUUUGGGAUAUCAAGAUUCAUUCUACAAAUGAGCAAACUGAGGACUAGAAAAUUGAAGAAUGUACAUGAGCAGGAACUGUGUAAGCACCCAUUUAACUGGCCCAUUCUAGCCAGCUGACCCCAACCCAGAAACCACCCAAUAGUUCACCUUCACAUUCCCAUAAAACCAUCUACCCCAGAUACCUUGCCAACUACCUAACUCCAUAUCACCCUACCUUCCCCUUCUUGUCCUACUCAGAAAAAUAAAACCACCGGGAUCAUUGUUCUUGGAAAGGAUGGCCCUACAGAUCCCCACACCUACCUUGACCAGCACUCCCUUCCUGGCCAACACUCUCCUGUAUACAUUGUCUCCCUUCUCUUAGAGUGAGGAUUUUAAGGGCUCCCUUUUGUAGUCCUAUCCUGAGCCUUGAACACAAUGCCUAGCACAUAACAGUUGCUCAAUAAAUGCUUUUUCACUGUUAUUGGUAGUAAAUAAUCCAUUUCACUGAAGGAUCAAGUAGGUUGAAUUCAUUAUCAUUGAUAUUUGAUGCAUUUUCCUAGACUUUAAGUUCUAGAUGAGAAUUGGCUCCCAUGGACUCCCUGGGGUUCCAUGGAAAUAUACUAGGGUUCUACAGCGUUCCCAGGAGGAUUUUGUUGGGUUCUUUUUUUAAAGACCUUCUGUCUUGGUAUCAAUUCUAAGACAGAUAGGCAAUAGGGGUUAAACAACUUGCCCAGACUCACCCUGCUAGGAAAUCUAUGAGGUCAGAUUUGAAUCCAGGUCCUUCUGACGCCAAGCCUGGCACUCUGUCCACUGUGCUCUCUUACUGUCACUUCCCAGAAGGAAUUUAAUUUUGCCUAUUCUUGGAAAAUUUCUGGAUGCUUUCUCUUUUCUGUUUGAAGACAUUCCAAAUCCAAUUAUUUUCUUUCUUUUAAUGUAUAUGUUUAACUCUCAUCUUCAUCCACUUAGCAGUGGUUUUGUUCCCAAGCGGAAUCCAGGACUUCCCCAAAAAGCCAAAGAUAGAAACAGGAGAUUCCUUGGUGGGAAAAGUGUUAUAUUUGGGUUAUUGAGAUCCUUGUAAUCUAAUAAAGAAACGAGAGAGGAUUGUCCCACAGCCAACCUAAGGAGUUGUUGGGGUUGGGGUUGUUGGUUGUUGUUGUUGUUAUGAUUCAAGGCAGUAUUCCAGAAAGGCUACAGAGAUGGAGUCAGGAAGACCUGGGCUGAAGUUCUGCCCUUGGCAUGUGGUGUUUUUGUAGCCUUGUCACAAAUCAGUGCCCGGGGCAACUGUCUAACAAUCUAGGUUGUUUAAUCAGUGCCAAACUGCUUUGGUAAAGAGUGUAUUUUGAAAGAUCCCAGUAUCAAUAACAUUUGCACAUCUAUUUUAUUGUUGUUUUUCAGUCAAGUGUGACUCUUUUGGGGGUUUUAUUGGCCAAGAUACUGGAGUGGUUUGCCAUUUCCUUCUCCAGCUCAUUUUACAGGUGAGAAAACUGAGACAAAUAGGGUGAAAUGACUUGCCCAGGGUCACAGAGUUAGAUUUGCCAUUUCCUUCUCCAACUCAUUUUAUAGAUGAGUACACUGAGGCAAACAGGGUGAAGUGAUUUGCCCAGGGUCACAGAACUAGGUUUGUCAUUUCCUUCUCCAGCUCAUUUUACAGAUGAGGAAACUGAGGCAAAGAGAGUGAGGUGUCUUGUCCAGUGCCACAGAGCUAGUAAGUGUCUGAGGCCAGAUUUGGAAUCAUGAAAAUGAAUCUUCCUGACUUCAAGUUCAAUGCUCUAUCCACUAAGUCACCUAGC
This is a non-coding RNA of Monodelphis domestica (gray short-tailed opossum), 4331 nucleotides long. The record is from RefSeq and is a predicted model, not a curated record. NCBI's taxonomy places the organism in Eukaryota, Metazoa, Chordata, Mammalia, Didelphimorphia, Didelphidae.